GGGGGAAAAAUUAAUAAUAAAUUAUAAAAAAAAAAUUUUUAAAAAUAUAUUUUAAUGGGGGUUAGAGUAUAUAUAUAGAAAAAAUUUGAAAAUUUAUAGUAAAAUAGUAUUAUAAAAGAAUUUAGAAAUAUGGGAAAAUAAUUUAGUAAAAAGUAAAUUUAAUUUAUUGUAUCUUGUGUAUCAGAGUUUAUUAAUAAUAAUUAUUAGAUAAUAAUUUCUCGAAUUUAAAAGAGUUAAUUAAUUAUAAAAGUUAAUGUGGAAUAAUUAUUUUUAAUAAUUAAUUAGAAAUGAAAUGUUAAUCGUUUUUAAAUAUAUCUAGUUUUUUUAGAAAAAAAUUUAAUUUUAAAUAUUAUAUUUAAAAUUUUUAUUUUAAAAAAUUUUAUUUAAUAAUAUUAAAUAUUUUAAGGGAUAAGCUUUAAAAUAAAUUUUUAUAAUAAUUAAUUUAAUUAAAUUAAAAUUAUAAAAUUUAAAUUGUUUUAUAAAUUAUAGAUUUUUAUAAAUAAUUUAAUUUGAAUUAAAAUUUAAAAAUAAAUUUAAAUUUUUAUAAAAAAUUAUAUUUUAAUGAAAUCAAAUUAGUUAUAAUGAUAAAAUUAGUAUAUAAUUUAAAUAAAAGAAAAAAUUUAUUAGAAGUUAAUUAAAGGAAUUCGGCAAAAUUUUAUAUUCACUUGUUUAUCAAAAACAUGUCUUUUUGAAAUAAUUUAAAGUCUAAUCUGCCCACUGAUAAAUUAUUAAAGGGCUGCAGUAUUUUGACUGUACAAAGGUAGCAUAAUCAAUAGUCUCUUAAUUGGUGACUUGUAUGAAAGAUUGGAUGAGAUAUAAACUGUCUCUAAUUAAUUUAUAGAAAUUAAUUUUUUAGUUAAAAAGCUAAAAUAAUUUUAAAAGACGAGAAGACCCUAUAGAGUUUAAUAAUUUAUUUAAUUAUUAUUAUUAUAUAAUUUUUAAAAUUAAAAUUGAAUAAAUUAUUUUGUUGGGGUGAUAAAAAAAUUAAAUUAACUUUUUUUAUUUUUUUACAUUAAUUUAUGAAUAAAUGAUCCAAUAAUAGUGAUAAUAAGAAAAAAUUACCUUAGGGAUAACAGCGUAAUUUUUUUUUUUAGUUCAAAUAGGAAAAAAAGUUUGCGACCUCGAUGUUGGAUUAAGAUAAAAUUUAAAUGCAAAAGUUUAAAAUUUUUGAUCUGUUCGAUCAUUAAAAUCUUACAUGAUCUGAGUUCAAACCGGUGUGAGCCAGGUUGGUUUCUAUCUUUAAAUAAAUUUAAUAUUUUAGUACGAAAGGAUCAAAUAUUAGAAAUAAUUUUAAUAAGAUGAAUUUUAUUAAUAGUUAAUAAUA
Molecule: ribosomal RNA, 1324 nt
Filed under: Papilio nephelus
Lineage: Eukaryota; Metazoa; Arthropoda; Insecta; Lepidoptera; Papilionidae
Description: 16S ribosomal RNA
Source: RNAcentral